AGUGAACGCUGGCGGUAGGCCUAACACAUGCAAGUCGAACGGCAGCACAGUAAGAGCUUGCUCUUACGGGUGGCGAGUGGCGGACGGGUGAGGAAUACAUCGGAAUCUACUUUUUCGUGGGGGAUAACGUAGGGAAACUUACGCUAAUACCGCAUACGACCUACGGGUGAAAGCAGGGGAUCUUCGGACCUUGCGCGAUUGAAUGAGCCGAUGUCGGAUUAGCUAGUUGGCGGGGUAAAGGCCCACCAAGGCGACGAUCCGUAGCUGGUCUGAGAGGAUGAUCAGCCACACUGGAACUGAGACACGGUCCAGACUCCUACGGGAGGCAGCAGUGGGGAAUAUUGGACAAUGGGCGCAAGCCUGAUCCAGCCAUACCGCGUGGGUGAAGAAGGCCUUCGGGUUGUAAAGCCCUUUUGUUGGGAAAGAAAGGCAGCAGGUUAAUACCCCGCUGUUCUGACGGUACCCGAAGAAGAAGCACCGGCUAACUUCGUG
RNAcentral lists this ribosomal RNA (492 nucleotides) under uncultured bacterium. RNAcentral describes it as "partial 16S ribosomal RNA". It matches the Rfam family "Bacterial small subunit ribosomal RNA", at positions 29 to 507 of the family's 1533-position model. The record is from RNAcentral.